This 464-nucleotide ribosomal RNA is filed under the name uncultured bacterium. RNAcentral's name for it is "partial 16S ribosomal RNA". It matches the Rfam family "Bacterial small subunit ribosomal RNA", at positions 28 to 506 of the family's 1533-position model. The record is from RNAcentral.
GACGAACGCUGGCGGCGUGCUUAACACAUGCAAGUCGAACGGAAAGGCCCCCUUGUGGGGUACUCGAGUGGCGAACGGGUGAGUAACACGUGAGUAACCUACCCUUGACUUUGGGAUAACUUCAGGAAACUGGGGCUAAUACCGGAUAGGAGCUCCUGCUGCAUGGUGGGGGUUGGAAAGUUUCGGCGGUUGGGGAUGGACUCGCGGCUUAUCAGCUUGUUGGUGGGGUAGUGGCUCACCAAGGCUUUGACGGGUAGCCGGCCUGAGAGGGUGACCGGCCACAUUGGGACUGAGAUACGGCCCAGACUCCUACGGGAGGCAGCAGUGGGGAAUAUUGCACAAUGGGCGGAAGCCUGAUGCAGCAACGCCGCGUGCGGGAUGACGGCCUUCGGGUUGUAAACCGCUUUCGCCUGUGACGAAGCGUGAGUGACGGUAAUGGGUAAAGAAGCACCGGCUAACUACGU